UCUGACCUCAAAUCAGGUAGGACUACCCGCUGAACUUAAGCAUAUCAAUAAGCGGAAGAAAAAAAACUAACAAGGAUUCCCUUAAUAACUUGAUAAGCGGAAGAAAAAAAACUAACAAGGAUUCCCUUAAUAACUUG
This 137-nucleotide ribosomal RNA is filed under the name Amanita sp. 'AUS09'. RNAcentral's name for it is "Amanita sp. 'sp-AUS09' partial 28S ribosomal RNA". It matches the Rfam family "Eukaryotic large subunit ribosomal RNA", at positions 1 to 133 of the family's 3401-position model. Lineage: Eukaryota; Fungi; Basidiomycota; Agaricomycetes; Agaricales; Amanitaceae. The record is from RNAcentral.